UCCAGUGGGCAUGUAUGACGACUCGUCAUCCAGCAAGAAAGAGAAUGGACGGGAAUUUUAGUUGUGCUUGAACUAUUUCUUCAAAUUUGCUGACGAAUCAUCCUCAUCUGUAGCAUAAGACAUGAUAUUAUAAAAAAUUUUGUUUAAAUCACACAUACCAUACUAUGCUUACCAGAGCUACAUUGCUCAUCAAAAGUUUUAGCCAGAGAAUUGACAUCGUCAGUUACUUUCUUUUUCUCCUCCUCACGCCUCAUUCUCUCCCUCUCCUUGUAAGUCCGGCGUUUAGCCUCCUUUUUGAGAAUUUCCUUCGGCUUACUCGGAUCGGCGACUGCUUCCUCGUUCUCGACCGGGACAACUUCUUCUUCUUCUUCGAUCUCUUCUUCUUCUUCUACUUCUAUCUCCGCUUCAUCUUCUCCUCCAUAAUAAUCAAAUUGGAAGAAAGAAUCGGGGCAGAUACUUUCUGAAGAGUCCACAUCGGUUUCUAAAAAAAAAAAAAAAAAAAAAAAAGAUGAUUAGAAUUAAACUCAUUAGGUAAGGUUAGGUUAGGGUAGGUUAGGGUAGGGUAGGCGCGCACUUACCGCAUCUUAAACACCUAUGGCAAAAUUUGAAAUUCCCAUCGUUUUUGGCCCCACAUCUAGAAAAAUAUGAUUAAUAAACUAAGAUUAAAAUAAAGAAUAAAUAAAUAAGAUUAAUAAACUUACUUGAAGCAGUCCCAUUCUUUUUUCGCAUCCAAUUCAGGAGCAUCAUCAUUGGCAUCCAGGCAUCCAGGCGCAUCAUUAGCCAUCUAAAAUAAAUAACAUUGAUUAGUAACGAGAAGAAAAGAAAAAUGAUCAACCACAAAUCUCGUGUUCAAAACUUCCUGACUACGAGUAUAGGCAAGUGGCAACUGAUAGAAAGUUGGAAAUUCCUUAAAACUCGCAUAGACGAAGAAUCUAUACUAUGUCACAUGUUCCGGUAUGUCAUCAAGGCUAGCUAUAACUUAUAAAGCUCAUCCGUGACUUCUACCACCUUCUACUGUGACGACGUCGCUUUGUACAAGAAAUCUUAGGUACAAAAGGGGGUACCGUUACAUUUGACGCAAUAAACUUCUGAUUGGAUAGGUGGUGAGGCUAAAUAUAAGUAUUAUAGCGGUGGAUUUUGAACGGAUACUACACACGACAAACCAGCGGUAGCAACUUCGGAACACUUUCAUAAGGUUCGUUCGUUGUGUUACACGCGCACGCACAGUAUAGUUGUUUACUCUAUUUAUUUGUGAAAUUGCAAUCGUCAAAAAUACAGGACAGUAUUUUAAAAGAUGGAUUUAUUUUAUAACAUAUGUUAUCUGCUGGUUUUCGUCUCAUCACGUAAGUUAACUGCUGGUCUUUCUUUGUACGAAAAAGUGCAACUACUUGAAACAAAUUAUGAUGAAAUUAAAGGAAAUUUGGAAUGCAAAAUUCUUAAUUUGGAAACAAAGGUUUCCACGCUGGAAGAAAAGAUAACUGAACUAGUCGAAAAAGUAGAACUGCAAGAAUCGAAAAUAUCUGCCCAGGAAUCGAGAAUAACUGCGCAAGAAUCACAAAUAACUGCCCAAGAAUCGAAAAUAACUGAUGA
This 1590-nucleotide long non-coding RNA is filed under the name Daphnia pulex (common water flea). RNAcentral describes it as "uncharacterized LOC124208958". The record is from RNAcentral. Lineage: Eukaryota; Metazoa; Arthropoda; Branchiopoda; Diplostraca; Daphniidae.